UGGGGAAUAUUGCACAAUGGGCGCAAGCCUGAUGCAGCCAUGUCGCGUGUAUGAAGAAGGCCUUCGGGUUGUAAAGUACUUUCAGUCGGGAGGAAGGUGUCAAGGUUAAUAACCUUAUCAAUUGACGUUACCGACAGAAGAAGCACCGGCUAACUCCGUGCCAGCAGCCGCGGUAAUACGGAGGGUGCAAGCGUUAAUCGGAAUUACUGGGCGUAAAGCGCACGCAGGCGGUUGAUUGAGUCAGAUGUGAAAUCCCCGGGCUUAACCCGGGAAUUGCAUCUGAUACUGGUCAGCUAGAGUCUUGUAGAGGGGGGUAGAAUUCCAUGUGUAGCGGUGAAAUGCGUAGAGAUGUGGAGGAAUACCGGUGGCGAAGGUGGCCCCCUGGACAAAGACUGACGCUCAGGUGCGAAAGCGUGGGGAGCAAACAGG
Molecule: ribosomal RNA, 429 nt
Filed under: Chloroflexota bacterium
Lineage: Bacteria; Bacillati; Chloroflexota
Description: Chloroflexi bacterium partial 16S ribosomal RNA
Rfam family: Bacterial small subunit ribosomal RNA
Source: RNAcentral